Molecule: long non-coding RNA, 1383 nt
Organism: Pan troglodytes (chimpanzee)
Lineage: Eukaryota; Metazoa; Chordata; Mammalia; Primates; Hominidae
Exons: 5
Source: RefSeq, a predicted model, not a curated record
UUUCUUGAGAGAGUCUCACUCUGUCACCCAAGCUAAACUGUAGUGGCGUGAUCUCAGCUCACUGCAACCUCCGCCUCCUGGGCUCAGGUGAUCCUCCCACACUAGUCUCUUUUUUAUUAUUUUGAGAUGGAGUUUCACUCUGUUGCAUAGGCUGGAGUGCAGUGGGGCGAUCUCGGCUCACUGACACCUCCACCUCCCAGGUUCAAGUGAUUCUCCUAACUCAGCCUCCCAAGUAGCUGGGAUUACAGGUGCAAGCCACCACACCCAGCUAAUUUUUGUAUUUUUGUAGAGAUGGGGUUUCACCAUGUUGACCAGUCUGGUCUUGAAAUCCUGACCUCAAGUAAUCCACUUGCCUCAGCCUCCCAAAGUGCUGGGUUUACAGGCAUGAGCCACCGCAUCUGACUUUUCUUUUCUCUUGAGACAAAGUCUUGCUCUGUUGCCCAGGCUGCGGACAGUGGCAUGAUCACAGCUCACUGCAGCCUCAACCUCCUAGACUCGAGCAAUUUUCUCACUUCAGCCUCCUGAGUUGCUGGGACCACAGGUGCACGCACCACCCCCUGGCUUUUAUUUUUUAUUUUUUUUAUUUUUUGGCAGAGACAGUGUCGCCUUAUGUUGCCCAGGCUGAACACCUGUGUCUCUUAACCUAAGAGCUGUCUCCAGCACAGGAUGCAAGACAGCCCCAAAAAAGUGUUAGGGACUUAAAGCCACCAGAAGCUAUUCUUAACCAAUGGAAUACAGGAGUCAAUGGGAACAUCCUGUCCAGAGGAAAGGAUAUUUAAGGAGAAAGGAAGCAGCACAAGUUCGACUCAGCCAAGAAACAGAGGAAGGACAUCCCAAGCACGAAGUGGGGCACCGGUCUGUGUUCCAGCGAGAGGGUCUUGCUGUGUCUCCCAGGAUGGAGUGCAGUGGCACGAUCAUAGCUCACCACAGCCUCCACCUCCUGGGCUCAAAUGAUCCUCCCACCUCAGCCUCCCAAGCAGCUAGGACUACAAGUGCACACCGCCACCACCUCCAGAUAAAAGGGAGAGACACAACUGGCUCCAGCCCUUUUCCUGCCUCUUCCUGCUUUGAAUACUCACAUGAUACCUGGAGCUGCAGCAGCCAUCUUGUUUACCAAGAAGAAAAGCCAAGAUGAUCACAGAAUAGCCAGCACUGGUAUUGUUCCACCAGCGACAGCAGAUACUUACCUCCAGAUUUUUGGGGAAAAAAAAUGAGCUGGAGUGACUCUCUUGGUCCCUAAGGUGGAAGCCAUGUGUUGAGGACACUGAGCAACAAGAUAGGAGGAGCCUGGGGCCCAGCCAGAGAACAGGAAGCCACCCAAAUAGCUCUCAACCCCUUAUAGAUGGACUACUAAAUGGGAAAUAAAGUAGACUGUUCUCUCUU